RNAcentral lists this ribosomal RNA (275 nucleotides) under Clostridioides difficile. RNAcentral's name for it is "partial 23S ribosomal RNA". It matches the Rfam family "Bacterial large subunit ribosomal RNA", at positions 1874 to 2148 of the family's 2925-position model. The record is from RNAcentral. Lineage: Bacteria; Bacillati; Bacillota; Clostridia; Peptostreptococcales; Peptostreptococcaceae.
AGGUUAAGGGGAUCUGUUAGAGCAAUCGAAGCAGUGAACUUAAGCCCCAGUAAACGGCGGCCGUAACUAUAACGGUCCUAAGGUAGCGAAAUUCCUUGUCGGGUAAGUUCCGACCCGCACGAAAGGCGUAACGAUUUGUGCACUGUCUCAACAACAGACUCGGUGAAAUUGUAAUUCCGGUGAAGAUGCCGGAUACCUGCGACAGGACGGAAAGACCCCAUGGAGCUUUACUGUAGCUUGACAUUGGGUCUUGGUACUACAUGUACAGGAUAGGU